AAUGACAGAACAGUGCGCGAG
Molecule: microRNA, 21 nt
Filed under: Pristionchus pacificus
Lineage: Eukaryota; Metazoa; Nematoda; Chromadorea; Rhabditida; Neodiplogasteridae
Description: ppc-miR-2238e
Source: miRBase by way of RNAcentral